RNAcentral lists this ribosomal RNA (253 nucleotides) under uncultured bacterium. RNAcentral describes it as "partial 16S ribosomal RNA". It matches the Rfam family "Bacterial small subunit ribosomal RNA", at positions 524 to 776 of the family's 1533-position model. The record is from RNAcentral.
UACGUAGGGGGCAAGCGUUAUCCGGAAUUACUGGGUGUAAGGGGAGCGUAGACGGUAAUGUAAGUCUGGAGUGAAAGGCGGGGGCCCAACCCCCGGACUGCUCUGGAAACUAUGUUACUAGAGUGCAGGAGAGGUAAGCGGAAUUCCUAGUGUAGCGGUGAAAUGCGUAGAUAUUAGGAGGCACACCAGUGGCGAAGGCGGCUUACUGGACUGUAACUGACGUUGAGGCUCGAAAGCGUGGGGAGCAAACAGG